UUCAUUUCAUCAUCUCCUUCCUUUCUCUUCCUCCUCUUUCUUUCCAUCUUAAUAUUAACUGUCACGGUGGAAAUUAAAGACAUGUGAGAGUGAGAAUGAGAGAGAUUCAUGGAGAUGAAUAUUAUGAGAUUAGCAAGCUUUUUCUCUCUGCAAGUCCUGCCAUGCUUUUCCACAGCUUUCUUGAACUUCUUCUCCCUGUUUGGUGGUCUCCUACGUUUACCCAUCCACUGAAGUUCAAGAAAGCUGUGGGAAACCAUGGCUUUUCAGGACUUCUGUUUGCUGUUUUGGGCUGCGAUGAUCAAUUAAUGGUCUAAUUCCAUUUUCCUUUUGGUGCAUUCUUCAUGAAAAAAAUGAGAAGGUUUGGUGGAAGGAUGCUGCUGCAAUGAUCUUUCCAUACAUGGAUUAUGGUAAUUCCCAUCAUUUAAUUUCAUGAUUGUUUACAAAUUUUUUUCCCAGAAAAAGAAAAAAAGUUUAGAUCUGUCUGUUGAAUUGCCUGAAUUAUGUCAAGAGAUGGAACCCCAUGAAGAGAAAAAGGUAAAAACAAUUCAGAAACAUUUCUUUUUCUUUUCGAAUUUUUCUGAAUCGACUGCAACACGUUUGAGCCAUGCAUGGAGAGGGUAGUAGAAACAUUGAUUGUGAAUUUCUCAUUAAUACCGAUCCAUAUAUUGUUGAAUCAAAGUGAUGAUGAAAACUGAGAUAUCCUUGAGAGAAGAUUCCCUGCCUUUCCUUUUUAUCCUCAGUAUAAUGAUAGUUCUUCUUGCUGGGCCUUUUGAUUUUUCUUCCACAUAAUCUCCUACAUUUCCGUGAAAAGGGUUAAACUUUGUCACCAUGUGAACCCCAUGUGAGAGUCAUUUUUUUUAACCUCUGAGAAAGAGGGAGAGAGAGCAGCACUGGCAGAUGAAAUCACUUUUCGAAAUUCAUUAUGAUUUUAUGAUUAUUUUUGUAUAUAUCCUACAAUUUUAUAUCACCUGCAUUUCAUCAAUGGCAUUGCAUCUUAACUCAACCUGCUGCUCCUUUGUUUGUUUGCAGAGAAACUGGAAAAGAAAAAAAAAAAAAAAAACUCCAGGAUUUUACAAGAUAAUAAUCUUCACGCCAUUUUUAAAUUCAUCGGGAAUCUUUACAUCCUGCAAGCCAACAAAGUGUAAACCACAUUGCUUUGAAUGCUCUUGCCAAGACAAAGCAACAAGCCUGUCAGUCCCUGAAAAUUAGUUAAAAAUUAGAAAGACAAUGUAGUAAGGUAGUCCUGUACACAAUUUAAGAAAGAAGAUUUUGCUGCAUUGAAUGGCAAUUAAUGCUUAAAAUCAGCCCUUAUUUUUCUAAUUUUGCUUCCAGAGAAAAUUAAAUAUCAGACUAAGAUCAGUAGUUAUAACCAAGGCAUCAUCCUAUAAGUAUAAGCUGCAGCAUGGUUUAGUUUAGGCACUACUUUGUUAGCAGUAAGCACUAGGGAUAUGCUUUUAAUUUGAAAGUAGGCAAAAAUAUUGAGAAGCAAUGAGAAAAGGAAACGUACUUGAGAAAUACUUCCAAAAUGCUGCACACCCUGUGGCAACUUGUCCUACUUUUUUGCUGAGAUAGCAUGCAUGCUCUUUUGUUCUGCAAUACAGCCCCAAUCAUCAGUCUUCAUGCUAUCAAAUUCAGCUGUCUAAUAGUGUGUGAGCUUGGUGAUUCAGACGGCACAUGGCUGCAUGCUGACUUAACAAAUUGUCUGACAGGUUUGAUCUGAUGACCUCGUACAUCUAUUGAUUGUUAUCUCACUCAUUUACAUACUUCAUGAUGCAGCCUGCUAAGUCAAUGAAGCCAGUGGGAGAGGAAUUUUAGAGUUAAGGAAAGGAGAUAUUGUGGUGAGAGAAGUAGUACUGCUCCCAAAACAAAACACCCAUCUUCUUUGUGUUUGAAUUCAUUGGUGCUUCGGCAAUCUCCAGUCACAAUUUGGGAAGUCAUUUAUAUUGUUUGAGCAUGCAAUGUAAUCACAAGCAACAAUUAUGACAGGAAUACUUGUACAUAUUAUACUGAUAUAGAAAUGAAUGGCAUGCAUCUCAAGAUCAGUUUGUCUGGGGAUGUUUAGUAGAC
Long non-coding RNA from Vitis riparia (riverbank grape), 2067 nucleotides. RefSeq lists it as uncharacterized. NCBI's taxonomy places the organism in Eukaryota, Viridiplantae, Streptophyta, Magnoliopsida, Vitales, Vitaceae. The transcript has 2 exons. The record is from RefSeq and is a predicted model, not a curated record.